This 492-nucleotide ribosomal RNA is filed under the name uncultured bacterium. RNAcentral's name for it is "partial 16S ribosomal RNA". It matches the Rfam family "Bacterial small subunit ribosomal RNA", at positions 28 to 507 of the family's 1533-position model. The record is from RNAcentral.
GAUGAACGCUAGCUACAGGCUUAACACAUGCAAGUCGAGGGGAAACGACAUCGAAAGCUUGCUUUUGAUGGGCGUCGACCGGCGCACGGGUGAGUAACGCGUAUCCAACCUGCCCAUCACUUGGGAAUAACCUUGCGAAAGUAAGACUAAUACCCAAUGAUAUCCCACGAAGGCAUCGGAAUGGGAUUAAAGAUUUAUCGGUGAUGGAUGGGGAUGCGUCUGAUUAGCUUGUUGGCGGGGUAACGGCCCACCAAGGCAACGAUCAGUAGGGGUUCUGAGAGGAAGGUCCCCCACAUUGGAUCUGAGACACGGUCCAAACUCCUACGGGAGGCAGCAGUGAGGAAUAUUGGUCAAUGGGCGAGAGCCUGAACCAGCCAAGUAGCGUGCAGGAAGACGGCCCUAUGGGUUGUAAACUGCUUUUAUAAGGGAAUAAAGUGGGUCACGUGUGACUUUUUGCAUGUACCUUAUGAAUAAGGACCGGCUAAUUCCGUG